This 293-nucleotide ribosomal RNA is filed under the name uncultured bacterium. RNAcentral's name for it is "partial 16S ribosomal RNA". It matches the Rfam family "Bacterial small subunit ribosomal RNA", at positions 505 to 796 of the family's 1533-position model. The record is from RNAcentral.
GUGCCAGCAGCCGCGGUAAUACGUAGGGGGCAAGCGUUGUCCGGAUUUAUUGGGCGUAAAGAGCUCGUAGGCGGUUCGAUGAGUCGGCUGUGAAAUCUCCACGCUUAACGUGGAGGGGUCAGUCGAUACUGUCGUGACUCGAGUCCGGUAGGGGAGAAUGGAAUUCCCGGUGUAGCGGUGAAAUGCGCAGAGAUCGGGAGGAACACCCGUAGCGAAGGCGGUUCUCUGGGCCGGUACUGACGCUGAGGAGCGAAAGCGUGGGGAGCAAACAGGAUUAGAUACCCUGGUAGUCC